RNAcentral lists this ribosomal RNA (1772 nucleotides) under Meloidogyne arenaria. RNAcentral describes it as "SSU rRNA". It matches the Rfam family "Eukaryotic small subunit ribosomal RNA". Lineage: Eukaryota; Metazoa; Nematoda; Chromadorea; Rhabditida; Meloidogynidae. The record is from RNAcentral.
UCUGGUUGAUCCUGCCUGAACUGAUGUGUUCAUUUCAAAGAUUAAGCCAUGCAUGUAUAAGUUUAAUCGUUUUAACGAGAAACCGCGAACGGCUCAUUACAAUGGCCAUGAUUUACUUGAUCUUGAUUAUCUAAAUGGAUAACUGUGGAAAAGCUAGAGCUAAUACAUGCACCAAAGCUUUGUCCUCUCGGAAAAAGCGCAUUUAUUAGAACAAAACCACGCGGCUUCGGCUGCUUCUUGUUGACUCAGAAUAACUAAGCUGACCGCAUGGCCUUGUGCCGGCGGCGUGUCUUUCAAGCGUCCACUUUAUCAACUUGACGGGAGCAUAAUCGACUCCCGUGGUGGUGACGGAUAACGGAGGAUCAGGGUUCGACUCCGGAGAAGGGGCCUGAGAAAUGGCCACUACGUCUAAGGAUGCAGCAGGCGCGCAAAUUACCCACUCUCGGCUCGAGGAGGUAUGACGAGAAAUAACGAGAUCGUUCUCUUUGAGGCCGGUCAUCGGAAUGGUACAAUUUAAAACCUUUAACGAGUAUCAAGCAGAGGGCAAGUCUGGUGCCAGCAGCCGCGGUAAUUCCAGCUCUGCUAAUACAUAGAAUUAUUGCUGCGGUUAAAAAGCUCGUAGUUGGAUUCGUAUCGGUACCCUGGAACCCUCUGGGUGUUUCUGGUGUUAUCGAUUUAUCGUAAUGUUCGGUUUUGAGUCCUUAACAGGAUUCUUAACAGGCAUUGCAAGUUUACUUUGAACAAUCAGAGUGCUUCAAACAGGCGUUUUCGCUUGAAUGAUCGUGCAUGGAAUAAUAGAAAACGAUUUCGGUUCAGUUUUAUUGGUUUUACGGACUGAGAUAAUGGUUAACAGAGACAAACGGGGGCAUUUGUAUGGCCCCGUGAGAGGUGAAAUUCUUGGACCGUGGCCAGACAAACUACAGCGAAAGCAUUUGCCAAGAAUGUCUUCAUUAAUCAAGAACGAAAGUCAGAGGUUCGAAGGCGAUCAGAUACCGCCCUAGUUCUGACCGUAAACGAUGCCAACUAGCGAUCCGCCGAUGGAAAUUAUAUUGCCUUGGUGGGGAGCUUCCCGGAAACGAAAGUCUUCCGGUUCCGGGGAAGUAUGGUUGCAAAGCUGAAACUUAAAGGAAUUGACGGAAGGGCACCACCAGGAGUGGAGCCUGCGGCUUAAUUUGACUCAACACGGGGAAACUCACCCGGCCCGGACACUGUGAGGAUUGACAGAUUGAUAGCUUUUUCAUGAUUCAGUGGAUGGUGGUGCAUGGCCGUUCUUAGUUCGUGGAGUGAUUUGUCUGGUUUAUUCCGAUAACGAGCGAGACUCUAACCUACUAAAUAGCUGGUACAUACUCUUAGUGUAUACAGCUUCUUAGAGGAUUUGCGGUGUUCAGCCGAAAGAAAUUGAGCAAUAACAGGUCUGUGAUGCCCUUAGAUGUCCGGGGCUGCACGCGCGCUACACUGGCAAAAUCAACGUGCUUGUCCUACCCGAAGGGGGCGGGUAAACCAUUGAAAAUUUGCCGUGAUUGGGAUCGGAAAUUGCAAUUAUUUUCCUGUGAACGAGGAAUUCCAAGUAAGUGCGAGUCAUCAGCUCGCGUUGAUUACGUCCCUGCCCUUUGUACACACCGCCCGUCGCUGCCCGGGACUGAGCCAUUUCGAGAAAUUUGGGGACCGUUGAUUUAAUUUUUCUAAAUUACUUUGAUGGAAACCAAUUUAAUCGCAGUGGCUUGAACCGGGCAAAAGUCGUAACAAGGUAGCUGUAGGUGAACCUGCUGCUG